This 360-nucleotide long non-coding RNA is filed under the name Homo sapiens (human). Its description in RNAcentral is "HSALNT0303102". The record is from RNAcentral. Lineage: Eukaryota; Metazoa; Chordata; Mammalia; Primates; Hominidae.
GCAGCCAUUAGUGAUUCGAUGCAGGCCUCCAAGCUUUAGAAAUGAGUUGAUAUCUGGAAGUGCUCCCACAACUGAAGGCUUCACUGCUGUCCUGUAUUCUGUGUUAGGUUUGGUGAUUGCCUGAUCUGUUUCUUGGGAGUUAUUUUUCAUGGCUAAGAGGAGAAAGAUGAUAAAAAAAAAAAACAAUACGCAAAGAAGAUGCCGCAACUUUUAAAGGAAGAAAAGCUCAACUCAGCUGUACUUCUCACCACGUGGCAAAGGAUGGACCAAAGGCUGGGAGCAACUGGGAGUGUCUGGGAACACUUUCUGGUUGUCACAGUGAUCAGCAGCCAGGAGCAGCCUGCAAUGUGAAGACAGUCC